GAAGAUUAGUGGUCUGCUUGCAGAAACUUGCAUACAGGUGCUGCACGGCUGUCGUCAGCUCGUGUCGUGAGAUUUUGGGAAAGUCCCGCAACGAGCGCACCCUCGUCCUUAGUUGCUAACAGUUCGGCUGAGAACUCUAAGGAGACUGCCUACGCAAGUAGGAGGAAGGUGAGGAUGACGUCAAGUCAUCAUGGCCCUUACGUCCAGGGCUACACACGUGCUACAAUGGGGUAUACAAAGAGCAGCAAUACGGUGACGUGGAGCAAAUCUCAAAAAUGCCUCCCAGUUCGGAUUGUAGUCUGCAACUCGACUACAUGAAGUUGGAAUCGCUAGUAAUCGUAGAUCAGCUAUGCUACGGUGAAUACGA
RNAcentral lists this ribosomal RNA (367 nucleotides) under Aliarcobacter butzleri. Its description in RNAcentral is "bacterial SSU rRNA". It matches the Rfam family "Bacterial small subunit ribosomal RNA", at positions 1003 to 1370 of the family's 1533-position model. The record is from RNAcentral. Lineage: Bacteria; Pseudomonadati; Campylobacterota; Epsilonproteobacteria; Campylobacterales; Arcobacteraceae.